Molecule: ribosomal RNA, 451 nt
Filed under: uncultured bacterium
Lineage: Bacteria
Description: partial 16S ribosomal RNA
Rfam family: Bacterial small subunit ribosomal RNA
Source: RNAcentral
GUGGGGAAUAUUGGACAAUGGGGGGAACCCUGAUCCAGCCAUGCCGCGUGUGUGAAGAAGGCCUUUUGGUUGUAAAGCACUUUAAGCGAGGAGGAGGCUACCGAGAUUAAUACUCUUGGAUAGUGGACGUUACUCGCAGAAUAAGCACCGGCUAACUCUGUGCCAGCAGCCGCGGUAAUACAGAGGGUGCAAGCGUUAAUCGGAUUUACUGGGCGUAAAGCGCGCGUAGGUGGCCAAUUAAGUCAAAUGUGAAAUCCCCGAGCUUAACUUGGGAAUUGCAUUCGAGACUGGUUGGCUAGAGUAUGGGAGAGGAUGGUAGAAUUCCAGGUGUAGCGGUGAAAUGCGUAGAGAUCUGGAGGAAUACCGAUGGCGAAGGCAGCCAUCUGACCUAAUACUGACACUGAGGUGCGAAAGCAUGGGGAGCAAACAGGAUUAGAAACCCCGGUAGUCC